GCAAGUCGAACGAGGUCCAUGGAGCUUGCUCCGGACGACCUAGUGGCGAACGGGUGCGUAACACGUGAGAAACCUGUCCCAGUCUUCGGGAUAACAGUUGGAAACGACUGCUAAUACCGGAUACCGCCGGUACACCGCCUGGUGAGCCGACGAAAGAUCUAUCGGAUUGGGAGGGUCUCGCGGCCUAUCAGCUAGUUGGAGAGGUAACGGCUCACCAAGGCAUCGACGGGUAGCUGGUCUGAGAGGAUGAUC
This 252-nucleotide ribosomal RNA is filed under the name uncultured bacterium. Its description in RNAcentral is "partial 16S ribosomal RNA". It matches the Rfam family "Bacterial small subunit ribosomal RNA", at positions 57 to 305 of the family's 1533-position model. The record is from RNAcentral.